RNAcentral lists this long non-coding RNA (312 nucleotides) under Bos taurus (domestic cattle). RNAcentral describes it as "long non-coding RNA NONBTAT026574". The record is from RNAcentral. Lineage: Eukaryota; Metazoa; Chordata; Mammalia; Artiodactyla; Bovidae.
AGUACACACAUAGCAUUGCUUUUUUGGUUGGGUUGGGUAGAGGGUUUUCUUGGACUAACAUCUUUAAACAAUUUUCACUUGCAGUAGAAAUGAUGUUCAGGCUUUAAGAAAGUAUUGCAAAUUAUUAAUGGAACUAAUUUAUAUUUCCUGACAGUAGAUCAAGUUUAUUUUUGGUUGUUGUAGUCUACUUUUCACUAAACCAAAAUUACUUCUGGUUGUAACUCAGCUGCCAUUUGGCCUACCCUAUUCAAAGUAACAUAGUUACUUAAAUUCAUGGAUAUAUCCAAAUGUGUAUCAUGUAUAUCGUUGUAG